This 447-nucleotide ribosomal RNA is filed under the name uncultured cyanobacterium. RNAcentral's name for it is "bacterial SSU rRNA". It matches the Rfam family "Bacterial small subunit ribosomal RNA", at positions 356 to 795 of the family's 1533-position model. The record is from RNAcentral. Lineage: Bacteria; Bacillati; Cyanobacteriota.
GGGGAAUUUUCCGCAAUGGGCGAAAGCCUGAUGGUGCAACGCCGCGUGGAGGAUGAAGGUCUUCGGAUUGUAAACUCCUGUCAUCGGGGAGUAAGACCUGGGCGUGAAUAGCGCACAGGGUUGAUAGUACCCGAAGAGGAAGGGACGGCUAACUUCGUGCCAGCAGCCGCGGUAAUACGAAGGUCCCAAGCGUUGUUCGGAAUCACUGGGCGUAAAGGGAGCGUAGGCUGCGCGGUAAGUCAGAUGUGAAAUCCCGGGGCUCAACCCCGGAACUGCAUCCGAUACUGCCGUGCUUGAGGGUUGGAGAGGUAGCUGGAAUUCUCGGUGUAGCAGUGAAAUGCGUGGAUAUCGAGAGGAACACUCGUGGCGAAGGCGAGCUACUGGACAACAUCUGACGCUGAGGCUCGAAGGCCAGGGGAGCAAAAGGGAUUAGAUACCCCAGUAGUC